GAUGAACGCUGGCGGCGUGCUUAACACAUGCAAGUCGAGCGAGAAGUUUUGAAAAGAUUCUUCGGAUGAAAUUUAAAAUGGAAAGCGGCGGACGGGUGAGUAACGCGUAGGCAACCUGCCCCAUACAAAGGGAUAGCAUUUGGAAACGAAUAUUAAUACCUUAUGAAACUUAACUAGUGCAUGCUAGGUAGGUCAAAGAUUUAUCGGUAUGGGAUGGGCCUGCGUCUGAUUAGCUAGUUGGUGAGGUAACGGCUCACCAAGGCGACGAUCAGUAGCCGACCUGAGAGGGUGAACGGCCACAUUGGAACUGAGACACGGUCCAAACUCCUACGGGAGGCAGCAGUGGGGAAUAUUGCACAAUGGGGGAAACCCUGAUGCAGCAACGCCGCGUGAACGAUGAAGGCCUUUGGGUCGUAAAGUUCUGUUUCUAGGUGAUGAAAACUGACCGUAACCUAGGAGAAAGCCC
RNAcentral lists this ribosomal RNA (466 nucleotides) under [Eubacterium] brachy. Its description in RNAcentral is "bacterial SSU rRNA". It matches the Rfam family "Bacterial small subunit ribosomal RNA", at positions 28 to 493 of the family's 1533-position model. Lineage: Bacteria; Bacillati; Bacillota; Clostridia; Peptostreptococcales; Anaerovoracaceae. The record is from RNAcentral.